Molecule: ribosomal RNA, 424 nt
Filed under: Verrucomicrobiota bacterium
Lineage: Bacteria; Pseudomonadati; Verrucomicrobiota
Description: Verrucomicrobia bacterium partial 16S ribosomal RNA
Rfam family: Bacterial small subunit ribosomal RNA
Source: RNAcentral
UGAGGAAUAUUGGUCAAUGGACGCAAGUCUGAACCAGCCAAGUAGCGUGCAGGAUGACGGCCCUAUGGGUUGUAAACUGCUUUUAUAUGGGGAUAAAGUGGGGAACGUGUUCCCUUUUGCAGGUACCAGAUGAAUAAGGACCGGCUAAUUCCGUGCCAGCAGCCGCGGUAAUACGGAAGGUUCGGGCAUUAUCCGGAUUUAUUGGGUUUAAAGGGAGCGUAGGCCGUUUGGUAAGCGUGUUGUGAAAUGUAGGAGCUCAACUUCUAGAUUGCAGCGCGAACUGUCAGACUUGAGUGCGCACAACGUAGGCGGAAUUCAUGGUGUAGCGGUGAAAUGCUUAGAUAUCAUGAAGAACUCCGAUUGCGAAGGCAGCUUACGGGAGCGCAACUGACGCUGAAGCUCGAAGGUGCGGGUAUCGAACAGG